Molecule: ribosomal RNA, 253 nt
Filed under: uncultured bacterium
Lineage: Bacteria
Description: partial 16S ribosomal RNA
Rfam family: Bacterial small subunit ribosomal RNA
Source: RNAcentral
UACGUAGGGGGCAAGCGUUGUCCGGAAUCAUUGGGCGUAAAGCGCGUGUAGGCGGCUCGAUAAGUCCGCUCUGAAAGUCCAGGGCUCAACCCUGGGAUGCGGGUGGAUACUGUCGGGCUCGAGUCCGGAAGAGGCGAGUGGAAUUCCCGGUGUAGCGGUGAAAUGCGCAGAUAUCGGGAGGAACACCAAUGGCGAAGGCAGCUCGCUGGGACGUGACUGACGCUGAGACGCGAAAGCGUGGGGAGCGAACAGG